Molecule: transfer RNA, 52 nt
Filed under: Poa billardierei
Lineage: Eukaryota; Viridiplantae; Streptophyta; Magnoliopsida; Poales; Poaceae
Also listed under: 1 other name
Description: partial tRNA-Phe
Rfam family: tRNA
About the family: Transfer RNA (tRNA) molecules are approximately 80 nucleotides in length. Their secondary structure includes four short double-helical elements and three loops (D, anti-codon, and T loops). Further hydrogen bonds mediate the characteristic L-shaped molecular structure. tRNAs have two regions of fundamental functional importance: the anti-codon, which is responsible for specific mRNA codon recognition, and the 3' end, to which the tRNAs corresponding amino acid is attached (by aminoacyl-tRNA synthetases). tRNAs cope with the degeneracy of the genetic code in two manners: having more than one tRNA (with a specific anti-codon) for a particular amino acid; and 'wobble' base-pairing, i.e. permitting non-standard base-pairing at the 3rd anti-codon position.
Source: RNAcentral
GUCAGGAUAGCUCAGUUGGUAGAGCAGAGGACUGAAAAUCCUCGUGUCACCA